Molecule: ribosomal RNA, 519 nt
Filed under: uncultured Glomus
Lineage: Eukaryota; Fungi; Glomeromycota; Glomeromycetes; Glomerales; Glomeraceae
Description: SSU rRNA
Rfam family: Eukaryotic small subunit ribosomal RNA
Source: RNAcentral
CCAAUAGCGUAUAUUAAAGUUGUUGCAGUUAAAAAGCUCGUAGUUGAAUUUCGGGACUAAUAUGUCGGUCGUGCCUCGGUACGUACUGGUUUAUUGGUUUCUCCUUUCUGAAGAACCAUGAUGUCAUUUAUUUGGUGUCGUGGGGAAUCAGGACUGUUACUUUGAAAAAAUUAGAGUGUUUAAAGCAGGCUCACGCUUGAAUACAUUAGCAUGGAAUAAUGCAAUAGGACGUUUGAUUCUAUUUUGUUGGUUUCUAGGAUCGACGUAAUGAUUAAUAGGGAUAGUUGGGGGCAUUAGUAUUCAAUUGUCAGAGGUGAAAUUCUUGGAUUUAUUGAAGACUAACUACUGCGAAAGCAUUUGCCAAGGAUGUUUUCAUUAAUCAAGAACGAAAGGUAGGGGAUCGAAGACGAUCAGAUACCGUCGUAGUCUUAACCAUAAACUAUGCCGACUAGGGAUCGGAUGAUGUUAAUUUUUUAAUGACUCAUUCGGCGCCUUACGGGAAACCAAAGUGUUUGGGUC